Molecule: ribosomal RNA, 478 nt
Filed under: uncultured bacterium
Lineage: Bacteria
Description: partial 16S ribosomal RNA
Rfam family: Bacterial small subunit ribosomal RNA
Source: RNAcentral
GACGAACGCUGGCGGCGUGCUUAACACAUGCAAGUCGAACGGUAAGGCCCUUCGGGGUACACGAGUGGCGAACGGGUGAGUAACACGUGGGUGAUCUGCCCUGCACUUCGGGAUAAGCCUGGGAAACUGGGUCUAAUACCGGAUAGGACUCCUGGCUUCAUGGUGGGGGGUGGAAAGCUUUUGCGGUGGGGGAUGGGCCCGCGGCCUAUCAGCUUGUUGGUGGGGUAAUGGCCUACCAAGGCGACGACGGGUAGCCGGCCUGGGAGGGUGACCGGUCACACUGGGACUGAGAUACGGCCCAGACUCCUACGGGAGGCAGCAGUGGGGAAUAUUGCACAAUGGGCGCAAUCCUGAUGCAGCGACGCCGCGUGAGGGAUGACGGCCUUCGGGUUGUAAACCUCUUUCAGCUAUGACGAAGCGCAAGUGACGGUAGUAGCAGAAGAAGGACCGGCCAACUACGUGCCAGCAGCCGCGGUAA